GACGAACGCUGGCGGCGUGCUUAACACAUGCAAGUCGAACGGAAAGGCCCUUCGGGGUACCCGAGUGGCGAAUGGGUGAGUAACACGUGGGUGAUCUGUCCUGCACUUUGGGAUAAGCCUGGGCAACUGGGUCUAAUACUGAAUAGGACCACGCGCUUUCUGGUGUGUGGGGGAAAGCUUUUGCGGUGCGGGAUGGGACCGCGGCCGAUUAGCUUGUUGGUGUGGUAAAGGCCUACCAAGGCGACGAUGAGUAGCCGACCUGGUCUGAUGACCGGCCACGCUGCGCCUGGGAUGCGGCCCAGACUCCAACGGGACGCAGCAGUGGGGAAGGGUGCACUGGGGGCGCAAGCCUGAUGCGGCGACGCCGCGUGGGGUAUGUCGUCCAGCGGUUUGUGUUGCUCAUUCAUUAUGGACGGGGCGCUGGUGACAGUACCUAUAGAAUAAGCACCGGCCAACUACGUG
This 462-nucleotide ribosomal RNA is filed under the name uncultured bacterium. RNAcentral's name for it is "partial 16S ribosomal RNA". It matches the Rfam family "Bacterial small subunit ribosomal RNA", at positions 28 to 507 of the family's 1533-position model. The record is from RNAcentral.